AACGAACGCUGGCGGCAGGCCUAACACAUGCAAGUCGAGGGGGAAGCCACUUUCGGGUGGUGGAGACCGGCGCACGGUGAGUAACGCGUGGGCACCUGCCCCGGGGUGGGGGAUAACCGCUGGAAACGGCGGCUAAUACCGCAUACGCCCUAUUUUCGUAGAGGAGAUGGGGGAAAGAUUUAUUGCCCUGGGAUGGGCCCGCGUUGGAUUAGCUUGUUGGUGGGGUAAAGGCCUACCAAGGCGACGAUCCAUAGCUGGUCUGAGAGGAUGAUCAGCCACACUGGGACUGAGACACGGCCCAGACUCCUACGGGAGGCAGCAGUGGGGAAUAUUGGACAAUGGGGGCAACCCUGAUCCAGCCAUGCCGCGUGCGUGAAGAAGGCUUUAGGGUUGUAAAGCGCUUUCACCGGUGACGAUGAUGACGGUAGCCGGAGAAGAAGCCCCGGCUAACUCCGUGCCAGCCGCCGCGGUAACAC
RNAcentral lists this ribosomal RNA (476 nucleotides) under uncultured bacterium. Its description in RNAcentral is "bacterial SSU rRNA". It matches the Rfam family "Bacterial small subunit ribosomal RNA", at positions 28 to 526 of the family's 1533-position model. The record is from RNAcentral.